Molecule: unclassified non-coding RNA, 14911 nt
Filed under: Leishmania donovani
Lineage: Eukaryota; Euglenozoa; Kinetoplastea; Trypanosomatida; Trypanosomatidae
Description: gene:LdHU3.36.1340(CDS-product:dynein_heavy_chain _putative)
Source: RNAcentral
GUGUCUGAGAGCGCAGCUCCCGCCGAAUCACUGCAGAAGUUCUGCCUACCUCUCGGAGCAUCUACCGGCAACUACACUGUCUCAGGGCACGCGAGCGAGAACGAGGAAGAGGCCAAAGAAUACAGGAAGAGCUGAGGCUCGGUAGACCUGCUCGAGCCGCGUCAGUCUUUGUCCUCUUUCGCCUUUUCGCGUUCGCAGCUCCUUCUAUUCCUGGCAGACACCUCAGGUGUAGUGCUGCGCCUCACCGCCUCCUCUUUUGUUUGCCUUUUUUUUUCUUUGAGGGAGAAGCAAGGAGAGCUGUGUGUGGGCGUCGUUGUCAGCUUUUUCUUGUCGUUCUCUGUUUGUGCAUCAUUGCACAUUUUCUCCAGAGAGGGGCACGCAGACGCGUCGCCUUACACAGCAAGACCACCCUCCUACCACAUACUUGCCACGAAGACGGGAAGCUGCACGCGCCAUCCCCUCGAAUUCAACUCUAUAAGUCUGUUGUGGACUUACGCUUGUGCUCGUGUGCGUCGGCGCAUUCACGCGUCUUUUUUUUUUGCUAGUGUGUGUGUGUGUGUUUGUGUUUUGGUUUCUUUCUUUCCACUUGGAAACGUCAGGUUUCACCUGCACCCAAUCAUGUCUAUAUCCUACGAAGAGCUGCUCGCCCUUCGACGCGCGCAAGUGGCACAAAAGCAGCAGCAGCAGCAGGCCCCUGGAGCGGCUGUUUUGUCAGCUACUUCCACGACUUCAGGGGCCGGGGAAGUCACAACAGCGGCGCCUGCAACCUCGCAUCUUCAUAGGCCGCCGCACGCGUCUGGAAAUAUCACAUCGUCCGCGACGCAGGCAGCUGCGUUCAGUCCCUUUUUGCGAAGGUCAGAUAAAAAGGCCGCCGAGUACGCAUCGGUCACCGUGGCGAUCGAGCUGGAGCCGAAGGUCAUGGCGACCAACCUGUCUGUGCGAGGCGAGGUGUCGCGGGCAGAGCUUCUCCAGCGCAAGCGUCAGCGCAUCGAUACGGGCCCUACGCUGUCAGAGCUGCUGAUCGCGCGUGGCAUGCACGCUGCCGCGGCAAGCGAUCUGGUGGGAAACCCAGAGGACGGUAGCGCCGGAAUCGCUCCUUGCGCGGCAGCCGGGGACUACGCUACGUGGCUACCCGUGGAGGCCUUUGAUGACGCUUUUCGCUUCGAGGAGCUGUCCCCGGAGGACUGGGCGGCGCGUGUAGCCGCUGCUCCGUCGGGCUUGCCUUGUGUCUUCUGGAAACUGGACCAUCGGCAGCACCACAAGGGAGGCAUCUGGACCUCCGGGCGUGUCGUGGAGGUCGACGUGGACAAGCAGCUGUACUACGUUUUGCCAGACGACGGCAGAGACCUUCGCAGCUCCCAGAAGCAGAAGGCGGACACGUGCGGCAGCGCAGAAGACACGAGGCCGCUUGCGCUGCCACGCGUUUUCGUGUGCUUUGCCGCCGAAGAUCCAGAGAACUUCGCAAACCGCUUCGCUGCUGCCCACAAGCGCCGCACCAUCGCCGAGGCCGCGCUGCGCACUGAGUUGUACGUUGACUUCAUCCCCCUCGACGAGUACGCCGCACUUGACCCCCUUGUUAUCCGGCGCGUGCUCGAUGCUGCUGUCAGUACACCCGCCCUUGUAGAGUGUGAGUCGAAUCUAAACGUGGCCGGCGUACUGGAGGAGGUGCGCGCCGGGUACAGCCGCGUCAUGAACGCCGAUCUCUUCCACUCCAUAACGCAGGGCGGCGGCCUCUCGCAACUAACGGGCCCCUCUGCAACGUCGUCGACGAUGCUGUCGGCGUCGCCAUUGUUCAUGAGCGGCACCGCGCGUCCAGUCCCGCUCUACGGCGUCUCUUCUCACCAGGCCGAGCGCUUCACCGCCACAGUUGCGGCCUUCCGCCAGCAGUGCUUCUGGAACACCUCCCCGGCGCUUGCGGCCCUCACGCGGGCCGUGUGCCGAGCCGACGACGCCUUGCUCUCUCGGUGUGUAUUUGUGCUCUACUCCACGACGAAAAUGAAGCGGCCGCUGAGCCUCAUGGAGCUGGAGGAGAUCGAGACGACGGCCACUCGGGACUCUUUCUUGCACGCCAGGGAUCAGUGGCUGACGCCGACUGCGGACAUGGUGAAACGCACACUCAGCACCUUCUCCUCCACGGACCCGGUCCACUUGCACCACUACGACGUGAACACCUACGCGGGCUGUAGUACCGAGCGAUACCUGCGGCAGAUUCAGCUGCAUAUGCAGGACACCCUCCAGCAUUACUUGAUUAGUUCGCUGGAGGCGCUCAUCCGUUUUGUCGAGCACGCCGGCGACAACCACGUCACAGUUCAUGGAAUGGCCCAGGUCGAGGUGACGCGCGGAGCUCACCCCGCUCCGCGGACCCCGUUCGGGGCCGACGAGCGCAUUACUGCAGGCUUUCUGUUGCCCCCACCUCACCCGCUGCCGCCGUUGCUCUCUGUCGUGCUCCUGUGCACGAAGCGCGUCAGCGACGCCGGCGCGAAAGCUGCACAGGAAGCGUUGGAAACUCCGGCCACCGAGACGCAAGCUCCGAAGCCAGUCGCGGGCGACCUACCGGAGGAGGACGAGGGCAGUGCAAAGACAGAGAAGCCGUCUGCUGCGUGCCUGAGUUACAGCUGCUCCGUUGAGUCGAUACGGGUAUCACUGCAGGGGCUCCUGAAGCGGUGCCUGACGCAGCACAGCACUCUUCGCACGGUCGAGCGCGUCCUCUUCGACUUUCUCUACGAUCCGGCCACGGCGUUUCUCAAUGUACCGGCUGCGUCCAGCAUGCUGAUGGAGUCGUGGGUGCAGCGGAUAAACGUGGUUCUCGACCGCGUCGCUGUUGCCAUGAAGUCGUACAGGGAGACCUACACCCCUUUUACGGCGGUGAUCGAGCUCGACUUGAACGCCUACAUGGCCACCUUCGACGAGCGCUUCCCUAGCACGCGCGGCGUGGAGGCGGAGGUGCAGCGCUUCCUCACACUGCAGCAGCAGGUGCUGGAUGGCAUUCCUGUCUCAGCAGACUUGGGCCUCGUGCGCGUGGAUUGCAGCGAGCUGCGCCGUGAAUUGUCGAAAAAGUGCGCCAUGGGUGCGGCCAAGGUGCUGGACGUCAUGGCCGCUCGCGCUCUUCGCAAGGAGAUCGAGGUGACCGAUCGCUAUAGCGAGCUGUACGCGACGCUGCUGAAGCCGACAGAGACACCAGAGGAGGUGGUCGCAACGAAGGACUUCAUCAAGACGAUUCCGGAACGUGUUGUCGACUUGGAGACGGCCAUAGAAGAGUCCAAGGAGAUCCACGAGCUGCUCAAGGGCUUCAAGCGCCCCCUCUCCGAGGAGGAGUUCAACAAAAAGUGGAAGGCGAUCGGGUGGCCCAGUCAGCUGGACAACGCCGUCAACGAACGUGUUGAGGAGCUGGAAGAGACGAAGCGGCGCCUGCUGGCCUCCAUGAACCGAGCGCAGGAUCUGUUUGAACAGGAGGUUGAACGGAUUCAGAAGAUCGUCGAGCAUUACGGUCAGCACCGCAACGCCCACCGCAUGACUGAAAUCGCCGAGGAUGUAAUGCGAGUGCAGGAGAAGAUCCGUCAACUGCGUAGCCAAGCCAGCACCUUCAACACCCACGAAUCACUCUUCAACAUGGAAAAGACAGACUACUCGGCGGUGCACCAGCUCGCCACGGACUUCGAGCCGUACGAGGCGCUCUGGAUCACCUCGGCGAGCUGGUCCGCCUCACUCAAGAAGUGGCACGAGCUGCCUUUUAUGAGCAUCGAUGCGGACGAGGUGGAGAGGGUCGUGGCAGACACUCUUCGCAUCAUGAACACGUGCGUUCGCAACCCACAGUUGAGGCCGGAGUUGGUGCAGGUGGCGGAGCACACCCGCGAGAAUGUGCAGCAGUUUCGUCCCCUUGUGCCAACGAUCAAGUACCUGCGCAUGGAAGGCAUGCAUGAGCGUCACUGGAGCCAGCUCUCAAAGGAGCUUGGCCAGGCCAUCGAGCCGGCCGUCACGUUGCAGAGUCUCGACGACGUGGUUCGCAUGAACUUGACGCAGCAAAACGAUGUGCUCAUGCGCAUUUCCGAAAUCGCGUCACGCGAGUUCCACAUCGAGACGUCUCUCGCGAAGAUGAAGGCGGGGUGGGCCGAUAUGCGGAUGAGCGUCACGGCGUACAAGGAGACCGGGUGCUUAGUGAUAUCAAAGGAUGUGGUGGACCAGACGCAGGAGAAGCUGGACGAUCAGAUGCUGCUGACGCAGAGCCUUUCCUUCUCUCCCUUCAAGCAGCUGUUCGAGGACGAGAUCGCCAACUGGGAGACCUCUCUGAAACUCGUGCAGGACGUGCUGGAUGCGUGGCUGCGGUGCCAAAAGUCGUGGCUCUACCUCGAGCCCAUCUUCCAGUCGGAGGACAUUUCGCGCCAGCUGCCAGGAGAGUACAAGCGCUUCCAGGUGGUGAACAAGAAUUGGAAGUUUCUGACAAACAAGGCGCAGGAGGUGGAUCUGACGCUCGAGUUCUGCACGACGACGGAGCGCUGUCUCGAGCUGCUCAAAGAGAACAACGACACGCUGGAGGUGGUGGAGCGGGGCUUGAACCAGUACCUCGAGAACAAGCGCGCCUCCUUCGCCCGCUUUUACUUCUUGUCUGACGACGAGCUGCUGGCGAUCUUGUCGGAGGCCCGCGACCCGCAAAGGAUUCAGCCGCAGUUCCGCAAACUCUUUGAGAACAUUGCCCGCAUCGACAUGCGCAACGCCGACAACGAGAUGUUUGGCAUGUACUCGCAGAUGGAGGAGUACAUCCCAUUUGCGCAGUCCGUGCUGCCGCGCAAGUACGUCGAGAACUGGCUGACGGAGAUUGAGCACAUGAUGAAGAUUUCGAUCCGGCUGCAGCUGGAGGCGGGUGUGAAAAACGCGGCCACCAUGAAGAGGCAGGCUUUCGUGCUGCAGUCGCCAGGACAGGUGGCGAUCGCCGUGAACCAGAUCAUGUGGACGCACGAGUGCGAGAUGUCGCUGAAAGAGCAGGGCUCGCUCGCCCCCUACAUGGCGACGGCGCAGCGGAACUUGAUGGUGCUGGUGGAGACGGUGCGGCUGCCGUUGACAAACCUGCAGCGGAUGAACCUGAGCGGCCUCAUCACGAUUGAGGUGCACGCCAGGGACAUCGUCGAGCAACUCGCCAAGGCCGGUGUAGACAGCAUCUACGCCUUCGAGUGGGUUUCGCAGCUGCGCAGCUACUGGGAGAACAGCGACUGCGUUCUACGCCAGGUCGAGGCGCAGUUUCGCUACGGCGGCGAAUACCUGGGAAACACGACGCGUCUUGUCAUCACGCCACUGACCGAUCGCAUCUACCUGACCUUGACGGGGGCGAUGCACAUGUUCCUCGGGGGCGCCCCUGCCGGGCCUGCUGGCACCGGCAAGACGGAGACGGUGAAGGACCUUGCGAAGGCCGUAGCAAAGCAAUGUGUGGUGUUCAACUGCCAGGAGGGUAUGACGUACGCAUCCAUGGCCAAGUUCUUCAAGGGGCUGGCCCAGGCUGGUGCGUGGGCGUGCUUCGACGAGUUCAACCGCAUCGACGUCGAGGUGCUCUCCGUCGUGGCGCAGCAGGUGUCCUCGCUGCAGGAGGCGGCGCGCACCCGGCAGUUCCGCAUUCCUUUCGAGGGUACGGAGAUCGUGGUGGACCCAUCCUACUCCGUCUUCAUCACCAUGAACCCCGGCUACGCCGGCCGUACAGAGCUGCCGGAUAACUUGAAGGUGCUGUUCCGCCCGGUGGCGUGCAUGGUGCCGGACUACGCCAUGAUUGCCGAGAUUCGCCUGUUCUCUUUCGGCUACUCGGACUCGCGCAAGCUGGCGCAGAAGAUGGUGGCAACCUUUCGGCUGAGCUCCGAGCAGCUCUCGUCGCAGGAUCACUAUGACUUUGGCAUGCGCGCCGUCAACACGGUCAUCUCGGCGGCUGGCCUGAUGAAGCGUGAGCACCCCGAUGAAGCCGAGGACGUGUUGCUGCUGCGAGCGCUACGCGACUCGAACGCGCCAAAGUUCCUGGAGGAGGACCUGCUCUUGUUCGACGGCAUCACCUCCGACCUCUUUCCAGGCGUGGAGCUCAUUCCAGCCGGCUACGGUGACUUCCUCGCCGCACUCGAGGCGAAGGCCUCCUCGAUGCGCCUGCAGCCGACGGAGAUGUUCGUGAAAAAGUGCGUGCAGUUGUACGAGAUGAGCGUGUUGCGCCAUGGACAGAUGGCGGUGGGCCCGACGAUGGGUGGCAAGACGAGCGCCACACGCGUCCUGCAGGCGGCGAUGACGCACCUGCGAAAGGAGUUGAAGAGCACCAAGUUCGCGGAGGUCAAGACGUACUGCUUGAACCCAAAGUCGAUCAUGAUGGCCCAACUCUACGGCGGCUUUGACGAGGCGACCGGGGAGUGGCGGGACGGGAUCAUCGGCGAGGUUUUUCGCCUGGCCGCUCGCGACACAACCGACGCGCGGCAGUGGAUCAUCUUCGACGGCCCGGUCGACGCGCUUUGGAUUGAGUCGAUGAACACGGUGCUGGAUGACAACAAGAAACUGUGCCUCAUCUCCGGCGAAAUCAUCGCGAUGACGCCGUACAUGAACUGCUGGUUCGAGGUGGAGGACUUGGCGGUCGCCUCGCCGGCUACGGUCUCGCGCGCCGGUAUGAUUUACCUUGAGCCGAACACGUGCGUUGGCGUGCGCAACUUUAUCCUUAGCUGGCAACAGUACAGACUCCCCGUCACAAUGGACCCGUACAAGGAGUAUCUGCAGGAGUUGUGCGAGCAGCUCUUCCCAUCGCUCAUUCAUUUUGUGCAGACGGAGGUGACCGAGUACAGUCCGUCCACCUGGCCCAACUUGGUGGUGUCCUGCUUCAACCUAUUCGACUGCUUUAUGUCGCCCUACACCCCGACGCGCACGUACGAGGUGCCGCAGGACAAGCUAGACUUGCUGCGCGAGAUUCACCUGCAUCUCCUGAUCUUCUCCGUUGUGUGGUCCUUCGGCGCCACUGGCGACCGGCCAAGCCGACAGCGGUUUGACAAGUUCCUGCGCGACGAGCUGCGGCUGCGCAACGUCAACAUCGAGCUGCCUGUCAUUGGAUGCUUGCAAGACUACCAGUUCAUCCCGGAGGAGCGACGCUGGAUCGCGUGGGCGGAGCGGCUGCCGCCGUUUACGACACAGGUGACGCAGAGCAAUUUCUCCGAUAUCAUCGUUUUGACGGCUGACGUGGCACGGUACAAGUACGUGAACCGAAUCCUUCUGGAGCACUCGUACCACACCCUCUGCUGCGGCCCCACCGGCACGGGCAAGACCGUGCUGAUGCGGCAGCUGCUGAUGCACGAAAUGCCGAAGGAGUGCACGCCGAUCUUCUUCACCUUCUCGGCCCGCACAAGCGCGAAUCAGACACAGGACCUCAUCUUCUCCAAGUUAGAGGUGCGCAAACGCGCGUCACCCCAGGUGUGGGGUGCCCCGCUGAACCGCAAGUUUAUCAUCCUCGUUGACGACAUGAACAUGCCGCUCAAGGAGCAGUACGGCGCGCAGCCGCCGAUUGAGCUGCUUCGGCAGUUUAUGGACUACAAAGGGUGGUACGACCGCCGCACUCGCGAGUUCUUUUCGAUUGUGGACGUGGUGCUGGCCGGCACGAUGGGGCCACCCGGCGGCGGCCGCCAUUUUAUCACGCAGCGCUUCCUGCGGCACUUUCAUCAGAUUGCUUUUCCUGAAAUUGAGGACGACAGCAUGAGCCGCAUCUUUCUUUCACUGCUGGAGAGCUACUUUUCACUCUUUGCCGAGGACGUGCGUGGAAAGCUCUCCGCGGUCGUGAUGGCGUCCAUCGAGGUCUUCAACACCGCCGUCAAAGAGCUCAAGCCGACCCCUGCCCGUCCGCACUACCUGUUCAACCUCCGCGAUCUGGCGAAGGUGAUGGACGGGCUUACGAACGCGACCCCUGCGACGGUGAAGACGGUGCCGGAGCUGGUCCGACUGUGGCUACAUGAGGAGAUGCGAACCUUUCAAGACCGCCUGACGAACGACGCGGACAGGGCUUGGUUCCAGGAGCUGCUGGGGAAGCAGUUGCACAAACACCUGAAGCUGUCGAUGAACGAUGUCACGCAACGUCAUCGCGGCGACGGCUGCGCAGCCGCCGACAGCAAGAACCCGCAGACACCGGCAGCAGACAUGAACACGCUCAUGUUUGUGGACUUCAUGGGCGGCAAGUCAGAGCAGCGCAUCUAUCAAGAGGCGGCCGACUUCGACGCCGUGGUCAAGACGCUCGAGCAGCAGCUGCGGGAUUACAAUCAGCAGUGCAUCGGCGGCCGUCAGCUAGACCUGGUCAUGUUCGCCGACGCUGCGCAGCACGUGUGCCGCAUUGCGCGUGUACUGCGCAAGCCAAACGGGCAUGCGUUGCUUCUCGGCGUCGGCGGCUCUGGCCGUCAGUCGCUGUCCCGCCUUGCCGCUCACCUGAAUGAGUACGAGCUCUUCCAAGUCGAGAUCGCGAAGGGGUACACCAUGAACGCCUGGCGCGAGGACGUGAAAGCGGUGCUGCAGCGCGUCGCACUCCAAAAGAAGCAGGUGCUUUUUCUCUUCGCCGACACCCAAAUUGUGCACGAGGCCAUGCUCGAGGACGUGAACAACCUUCUCAACUCCGGUGAGGUGCCGAACCUCUUUGUUGGCCAGGAGCUGGAAGACCUACUGAACUCGAUGCGGCACGUCUGCGUGGCGGAGGGGCUGCCGGUGGAUAAGGUCACCAUCUUCGCCCGCUUUGUGCGCAGCUGCCGCAGCCAGCUCCACAUCUCUCUCUGCAUGUCUCCGCUGGGCGAGGUCUUCCGAAGCCGUCUGCGUAUGUUUCCGGCACUCGUGAACUGCUGCACUGUGGACUGGUUCUCGGCGUGGCCGCAGCAGGCGCUGAGGAGCGUGGCACGCAACUACUUCGCCAUGGUGCCGCUGCUCGCGCAGCAGGCAAAGGCAGUGGAGGCGUGCACGGAGGUGUGCGUGCGUAUCCACGUGAGUGUCGACGCCGUCUCUGUCCGCUUCCUCGCCGAGACGCAGCGGCACAACUACGUGACGCCUACGUCGUUCCUGGAGCUGCUGCACACCUUCCGCGCGCUCAUGGAGACGCAGACGGAAAAGAACCAGACCACAAAGGACCGCUUCAUCAACGGCUUGGCCAAGCUUCGCGAGACUGAGGACGCCGUAGCCGAGCUGCAGCAGACGCUGUCGCAGAGUCAGCCGGCGCUGCUGGAGAAGAAUGAGUCCAUCAGGGCCCUCGUCGCCGAGAUGGAGUUGCAGACAACUGAGGCGGAGAAGACAAAGAAGGAGGCGCAGAAGGAGCGUGAGGCAGUGGCGACGAUGCAGGCCGAGUGUGCUGCCAUCGAGGGCGCGGCGCAGGAGCAACUGGCCGAGGCGCUGCCGGAGCUGGACCGUGCUCUGGAGAGCCUCAAAAACCUCAAAUCGUCGCAGAUUACGGAGGUGGCCGGCUACAAAGCACCCACCGCCGGCGUUGUCAUGACGAUGCAGGGCAUCUGUAUUCUGUUUCAAAUCAGGCCGCAGAUGCGCGCCGCGAGCCUGAUGGAAAAGAAGCCGGACUUCUGGGCUACCGCCAAGGAGCAGCUCCUCAACAACCCGAACCUGCUGCUACAGCGGCUUAUCCAGUACGACAAGGAGAACAUACCCGAGAAGCUGAUCCAGGCAGUGAUGCCCCUCGUCACGUCCGACGAUUUCACUCCAAAGAAGAUCGCUGGCGCCAGUCAGGCCUGUGCGGCCAUGUGCCAGUGGACGCACGCCAUGGUGCGCUUUCACGAGGUGAAUAAGAAGGUGGCACCGCUGCGACAGGAGCUGGCGGUGGCGCAGCAGGCGAACCAGAAGGCCCAGCAGAAGCUGAAGGAGGCCGAGACGCAGCUCGCCGAUGUGGCGGAGCGGCUUGCCGAUAUGCAGCGCCGCAAGGAGGAGGCGGAGCGGGAGCUGGAGGAGCUGGGCCAAACGGUGAAGCGGACAGCGCUGCGGCUGGAGCGUGCGGCGAUGCUGAUAGAUGGUCUAGCAGGCGAGAAGCGCAGCUGGAUGCAGUCGCUAGAGCGCAUCGACGAGUCGGCCCAGUACCUGAUGGGCGACAUGCUGGUGGCGGCUGGCCAGAUAGCGUAUUGCGGGCCCUUCACCUCCGUGUACCGCGAGGAACUCCUCGAGUCGUGGGGCAAAGAACUCGACCAGCGCUCCAUCUUGCAUAGUGCUCAGUAUUCCAUCUACCACACGCUGCAGGACGCUGUGGAAACGCGGGAGUGGAUCUUGAAGGGGCUGCCGAUGGAUACCCUAUCGAUUGAGAACGCCCUCUUCGCGAAGAGCGCGCGCCGGUGGCCGCUUCUGAUCGACCCCCAGACGCAGGGUAACCGCUGGAUCCGGAGGACGUACAAGGACUCGCUGGAGGUGGUGCGGCCAAGCCAAAAGGACCUCGUCAAGCGCAUCGAGUACUGCAUCCGCGCAGGGCGGCCGGUGCUGCUGGAGAACAUCGGCGAGGAUAUUGACGCCAGCCUCAACCCUCUGCUAGAGCGACGCACCUUCAUGGAGGGUGGGACGGAGAUGCUUCGCAUCUCCGACACGCCGAUCCCGUGGAACCCGAAGUUCAAGUUCUUCAUGACGACGAAACUGCCGAACCCGCACUACAUCCCGGAGGUGAUGGUGCGUGUGACGCUGCUGAACUUCUUCAUCACCCCGCGCGGACUGGAGGACCAGCUUCUCGGCGUCGUGGUUGGACAGGAGCGCAGGGAGCUGGAAAUGCGGCGCAGUGACCUGAUUCAGAAGAACGCCGCGAUGAAGGCCGACCUCAUCAACACGCAGGAGAGCAUCCUGUGCAAGCUGAAGGAAGUGCAGGGCGACGUGCUCGACGACGUGGAGCUUAUUGCCUACUUGAACGAGUCGAAGGAAAAGACGCUGGAGAUCACGACGCGGGUAGCCGAGGCGGAGGCUGCCGAGGUGGAGCUGACGGCGAGCCGUGAGGAGUACCGCCCCAUCGCGCAUCACUCUUCUUGCCUUUACUUCUGCUGCUCCACCCUCUCCAACGUCGACCCCAUGUAUCAGUACUCGCUGCAAUGGUUCGUGCAGCUCUUCAUCGCGAGCAUUGAGCAGGCGAGGCGCGCCGACGACGUGGCACAGCGGCUGGAGAACUUGAAGGAGUACUUCACCUACAGCUUCUACCAGAACGUGAGCCGCUCCCUCUUUGAGAAGCACAAGCUCAUGUUCUCCGUCUACCUCUGCGUGCGACUGAUGGAUCAGCGCGGGCAGGUGGACGCCGCCGAGUUCCGGUUCUUGCUGCAGGGCCCCACGCUCGUCGCCGACGCGAAGGACAACCCUGACCCGAGCUGGAUCACACCGGCGACGUGGAACGAGUGGUGCUACCUAGACCAGAACUUCGGCCCGUUCAAGGGCCUCAAGGCGCAUCUGUGUGCCCACCUGUCGCACUACAAGGAGCUCUUCAUGUCCUCGGCCGCUCAUCGACAGCCCAUGGCCGCAGACUGGGCGGACAAGCUGACGCCAAUGCAGCACUUGAUGUUCCUGCGCUGCGUGCGGCCCGACAAGCUGAUGGAGAGGUUGCAGGACUUUGUCUUGGCGGAGAUGGGUGAAAAGUUCAUCCGGCCUCCGCCGUUUGACCUGCUCACGUCCUUCAAGGACUCCGGUCCGGCAGCGCCGCUCAUCUUUAUCCUGUCGCAAGGUGCCGACCCCUAUGACGACUGGAAGCGCUUCGCUGACGCGCAGAACAUGAGCAAGAAGCUGUACGACGUAUCGCUCGGCCAGGGGCAAGGUCCGCGCGCAGAGCGCAUGGUGCAGGAGGGGAUGGAGAACGGCUCGUGGGUUCUGCUGCAGAACUGCCACCUUGCCACGUCCUGGAUGCCGACCCUGGAACGGCUGGUCGAGGCCAUCACCCCAAACACGCAUCCCAGCUUCCGACUGUGGCUGACGUCGAUGCCAAAUGCGCAUUUUCCGGUGGCGGUGCUGCAGAACGGCGUGAAGAUGACAAAUGAGCCGCCGAAGGGGCUGCAGGCGAACGUGUCGCGCUCCAUCGGCGCCUACUCUGGUGAGUUCCUGGAGAGCUGCCAGAAGUCGGUGGAGCUGAAGAAGCUCUUCUUCUCCAUGUGCUUCUUCCACGCCUUGCUGCAGGAGCGUCGCAAGUUCGGCCCGCUCGGGUGGAAUAUCGCGUACGAGUUCACGAGCGGCGAUCUGGGCUGCUGCGCGGCGCAGAUAAAGAUGUUCCUGGAUAAGUACGCCGAGGUGCCCUACACAGUGAUCCGGGAGCUGAGCGGCAACAUCCACUACGGUGGACGUGUAACGGAUGAGUGGGAUCGCCGCACCCUCAACACACUGCUGGAGCGCUUCGUGACGCCGGAUGUCAUGGCGGACGGCUACUUGUUCUGCCCGCGGCUGGAGGAGUACCAGUCGAUCCCUGUCACGAACCGGCAGGGGUACCUGGACUACGUCGCCUCGUGGCCGCUUAACACCAACCCGGAGACGUUCGGGCUGCACGAGAAUGCCGACAUCACCUGCGCCCGCACCGAGACGUUUGAGACUUUGCAGGCGAUUGUACUUCUACAUGGCGACGAGGGCCGCCGCGGCGACGGCGUGCCAUCGUCCUCGGCAGCGGCGUCGACGCCGGAUGACAUGGUGAAGACGUUCGCGGAGGCCAUCCACCGAAAAGUCGCCGCACCCUUUGACGUUGACCAGUUCCGCCGCAAGUACCCGACCAAGUACGAAGACUCUAUGAACACGGUGUUGGUGCAGGAGGCCAUCCGCUUUAACCGACUGGUGACACUUCUGCACCAGACUCUGGAGCAGCUGCCGAUGGCGAUCCGCGGCGAGAUGGUCAUGAGCAAGGAGCUGGAGGAAGUGUACCUGGCCCUGUACAACAACCAGGUGCCUGCCCUGUGGUCCGACAAGGCAUACCCGAGCCUCAAGUCGCUGGGUGCCUGGGUGGAUGACCUGGUGCGACGCCUCGCAAUGGUGCAGAACUGGUACGCGAACGGGCACCCGAAAGCGUACUGGAUUUCCGGCUUCUUCUUCCCGCAGGCCUUCUUGACGAGCGUUCUGCAGAACUACGCGCGCACGUUGCACAUCUCCAUCGACACCAUCAGCUACGAGUUUGAAUGGAUGUCGACAGACCCGGCAUCGGUCACGACGCCGCCGGAGGUGGGGUGCUACAUCCAUGGCAUGUUUAUCGAGGGCGCACGCUUUGACCCUGCAACGCUGACGUUGGCGGAGUCGCUGCCCAAGGUGCUCUAUGAGCAGGCACCGCUGCUGUGGUUGAAGCCAGUGGUCAACCGGCUAUCCCCGGCGAGCGGCAUCUACGAGUGCCCACUGUACAAGACGGUGCGUCGCGCCGGCACGCUGAGCACAACUGGGCACUCAACGAAUUAUGUGCUGGCCGUCGAAGUUCGGACACCGCCUAAAGCGGACGCGAAGCACUGGAUUCGGCGCGGCGUGGCCCUUGUGUGUGCAUUAAGCGUGUAACCCGCGAAUGUAGCGGAACGCCCGUGCCUCCAACGGUUUAGUGUACUUCUGUCUCUCCGUGUUUCCUCGAUGGAGGUGGUGGUGGUGGGGAGUCACAUGUGUGCACGCGUACGUGUACACUCGCUGGGGGGGCACCAAAGUAAGCACAGCUUCUUUGCUCACGUUUUGCCGAGGGCGUUGUGUGUCUCCGGCCGUCUCGUGCUCCUCUCCUUCCCUGGUGAGGUCGUUUCCCCUGUUGGCUGCGCUUUUCGUUUUCCUUUGCACGCCUGGUUCUGCCGCGCGAGAUGUAACGACAAGGCCAAGACAGCGAUCAAGAGACGAGGUGAAACACAUAAAAAAAGAGGUGAGUGAUGGUGAGCGAAGACCCGACAAUGUAAACACACACACACACACCGAUAUGCGAACACACCCACGCAGUGCCUCUCUCUUUCAAAGCCUCUUUCCCUCAUGACUACCGCCACCGUCGCAACCAUGGCCACGCUAUCCUUUUCUUGUGCUGCUGCACCGUGCGUGUCUGUGGAUGUGCGCCCUUCGCGAUUGUGUUCGGCGCUGUGCUGGUCUCGUUUUAUCUCCUGCACGAAGCACAUGACCCACACCCGCUCAAUUGCAGAUCCCGACACGUCUCCCCCUCCUUCCCCUUCUGCUCUGUAUGCUUUGCGAUUAUGCUUCUUCGUGUUCUUUGUUGUUGUUGCUAUUGCUGUUCGCUCCGUGUUGUGUAUCCAAUCUCGUCGGGCUCAUGCCGCUGUGGGCAACUCGUCGCGCUUUCGUUUGCUUUUUUUUUUGGUUUCCAGGCGUACGCAUGUGCGUGUAUGCGGAUGUGUGUGUGUAUCUCUUCCAAGAAGCUUGGCCACCGCUUCCUUUCUUGUUUUCUUUUUUUUUUAGCGUCCUCCCCUCUCGUCCUGUACUAUGCGUUCCACCCUUCCUGCUCUCGUCGCCGAUUCCGGUCGACAUGAGCACGCAUACAGGCGCGUGCUCAUGCACGCACACACAGACAGACACACACCGUAAAGGGUGUUUCGGUCUCCUACUUUGUUAGAGUUGAAUGAUGUAAAGACUUUCCUGAGAGCGCUCAAGCAAGACUACAUAUAUGCGUAUAUAUGUUUAGGUUUGGGGGAGGGGGGCGAUAAGGGCCAUCGAUGUAAACUGGAAUGCACGCAUCAAAGAAGAAAAUGUGUGCUGCCCGCACAUUUCAAGCUGUCAGUGACAACGACAGGCGACCUUCUGCAUAUAGUGCAUCUCACACAAGCGUGAACACUGUCAAACAACAACAACAAAGCGAAUGAACCGCAUCGUCCGCUGAGUCGUGUAGAGUAUCUGAGUGGACACCGAGCAUAAAUACAGAUGUGCAGCCGCGCCGAUCAACACCCUUGCGCGCACGUGUGCCCAUCAGCUUCAGCUCCCCUGCGAGCAGAGCGUUCUUUUUCUCCUUGGGAACCUGUAGCGCUCCCGGCUGCACCGUCCUCAUGUCGUCGCC